UCAGAGAGUAGUUUAUUUGAAAAUACCAGCUUUGGGAGCUGGAGAUGGAGGUUUGAGCCCUCCUUUUCUGAU
Molecule: transfer RNA, 72 nt
Filed under: Chlamydia abortus
Lineage: Bacteria; Pseudomonadati; Chlamydiota; Chlamydiia; Chlamydiales; Chlamydiaceae
Description: tRNA-Pro(tgg)
Rfam family: tRNA
About the family: Transfer RNA (tRNA) molecules are approximately 80 nucleotides in length. Their secondary structure includes four short double-helical elements and three loops (D, anti-codon, and T loops).
Source: RNAcentral